GAUGAACGCUGGCGGCGUGCCUAAUACAUGCGAGUCGAGCGAACAGACGAGGAGCUUGCUCCUCUGACGUUAGCGGCGGACGGGUGAGUAACACGUGGAUAACCUACCUAUAAGACUGGGAUAACUUCGGGAAACCGGAGCUAAUACCGGAUAAUAUAUUAAACCGCAUGGUUCAAUAGUGAAAGACGGUUUUGCUGUCACUUAUAGAUGGAUCCGCGCCGCAUUAGCUAGUUGGUAAGGUAACGGCUUACCAAGGCAACGAUGCGUAGCCGACCUGAGAGGGUGAUCGGCCACACUGGAACUGAGACACGGUCCAGACUCCUACGGGAGGCAGCAGUAGGGAAUCUUCCGCAAUGGGCGAAAGCUUGACGGAGCAACGCCGCGUGAGUGAUGAAGGUCUUCGGAUCGUAAAACUCUGUUAUUAGGGAAGAACAAAUGUGUAAGUAACUAUGCACGUCUUGACGGUACCUAAUCAGAAAGCCACGGCUAACUACGUG
Molecule: ribosomal RNA, 497 nt
Filed under: uncultured bacterium
Lineage: Bacteria
Description: partial 16S ribosomal RNA
Rfam family: Bacterial small subunit ribosomal RNA
Source: RNAcentral